UACAGAGGGCUCAAGCGUUGUUCGGAUUCAUUGGGCGUAAAGGGUGUGUAGGUGGCGCCGUAAGUCGGGUGUGAAAUUUCGGAGCUUAACUCCGAAACUGCAUUCGAUACUGCGGUGCUGGAGUACUGCAGGGGAGACUGGAAUUCCUGGUGUAGCGGUGGAAUGCGCAGAUAUCAGGAGGAACACCGGUGGCGAAGGCGGGUCUCUGGGCAGUAACUGACGCUGAGGAGCGAAAGCGUGGGGAGCGAACAGG
RNAcentral lists this ribosomal RNA (253 nucleotides) under uncultured bacterium. Its description in RNAcentral is "partial 16S ribosomal RNA". It matches the Rfam family "Bacterial small subunit ribosomal RNA", at positions 524 to 776 of the family's 1533-position model. The record is from RNAcentral.